AUGACCGGCGCUGCCCCCGCCCUCCUCCACCACCACGGAGUUUCAAGCAGAGGAACAUUACCUGUCUAUCAUGGCAAUUGCAGAUUCGUCCCAGGAUCUUGUUUCCUCAGCAAAUCAACUAUUUUGGGACCAUUGACUGUGUCUUUGGUUUGUGGUGCUACCCCCAACAACCAUAGACCAAGGAAUCCAGAUAUCUCACGACAACAGAAGAGGGGUUCAUCAUCAAGGGGGAAAAGCAAGCCAUUCCAAGAAAGGGACGACUCUGAGAAUAAUGAUGAAUUUGAUAGCGAUACAGUAUCCUCCAAAAAUGGACCACCUAUAUCUUUGACAAGCAACACGCGUCCCCAUGCAACAUCAGCUCCAGGGGAAAGGGAAAAGGAGAUUGUAGAGCUAUUUAAAAGGGUGCAAGCACAACUGCGAGCGAGGGGAAAAGGCAGGGAGGACAAGAAGCCUGAACCUGCAAAAUCCCAGGGUGAGAGGGGAAGUGUGGAUUCCCUUCUUAAUUUGCUCAGGAAACACUCGGUGGACCAAAAACGAAAGAGCGGCGAUGAGAAAGAGCAGAAUUUUGAUCAGACAUGGAGAAGCAGUGAUUCUGGAAACAAGCAAAGUUCAAGGAUAUUUGGCACGAAGAACGACGCCCAGGAAGGGCAGAAGCCACCUCCUGCAACCUUCCAGAGACCGCCUUCAAGCUUCAGGCGAAGAUCUCCUGUCCCUGGGGUCAAGUUCCAGCUUGUUACCAAUCCAGAUGCUGAUGCCAAGCCUGUCGUCAAUGGCAUGACCGAUGCUGUGCUGAAAGUCAAGACGCCACUGGAGGAGGAGACUGCUCAAGAUGAACCUGAUUCAGUCUCCCCGUACGAACCCGACUCUGUGAUAGCACCAGAAGAUGCAUCUCUGGACGACUUUGUUGUCUCAGACGACGAUUCAGACGUGCUGGACACCGAUGAACCCGAAGAUUAUCUGGAACCAUUGGAUGAUGCUGAUGACGUUACAGAUAGCAUCCCAUCCCAUGUUGACAGUCUGGAAGGUAGUCCUUCCGCAGAAGCUUCCGACCUGAGCUCGCUCAAGGUGACGGAGCUGAGGGAGCUGGCGAAAUCUCGGGGACUCCGGGGUUACUCGAAGAUGAAGAAGAGCGACCUGGUCGCGCUACUGAGCGACGUGUCCUGA
This 1164-nucleotide ribosomal RNA is filed under the name Triticum aestivum (bread wheat). RNAcentral describes it as "partial small subunit ribosomal RNA". The record is from RNAcentral. Lineage: Eukaryota; Viridiplantae; Streptophyta; Magnoliopsida; Poales; Poaceae.